Molecule: non-coding RNA, 95 nt
Filed under: Polaromonas sp.
Lineage: Bacteria; Pseudomonadati; Pseudomonadota; Betaproteobacteria; Burkholderiales; Comamonadaceae
Description: SAH sequence
Rfam family: SAH (S-adenosyl-L-homocysteine) riboswitch aptamer
Source: RNAcentral
CAACCCAAGGAGCGUUGCAGCGGAACCCAGCGUCCGUCAGGCUUGGGUUACGGCGGCCGCCGCGCGGCGGCCUUCUGCAACGACGCUCACCUUAG